CGUUAUGCGAUAGCAGUAUCCUGAGUAGGGCGGGACACGAGGAAUCCUGUCUGAAUCUGCCGGGACCACCCGGUAAGGCUAAAUACUCCCAAGAGACCGAUAGUGAACCAGUACCGUGAGGGAAAGGUGAAAAGAACCCCGAACAGGGGAGUGAAAUAGAACCUGAAACCAUACGCUUACAACCUGUCGGAGCAGCUUCGUGCUGUGACGGCGUGCCUAUUGAAUAAUGAGCCUACGAGUUACUAAUCACUGGCGAGGUUAAGUGCACGGAUGCACGGAGCCGAAGCGAAAGCGAGUCUGAAUAGGGCGUUUAGUCAGUGGUUGUAGACGCGAAACCUUGCGAUCUACCCUUGAGCAGGUUGAAGGUUGGGUAAAACCAACUGGAGGACCGAACGAAUAAGCGUUGAAAAGCUUCUCGAUGACUUGAGGGUAGGGGUGAAAGGCUAAUCAAGCUGGGAAAUAGCUCGUACUCCCCGAAAUGCCUUUAGGGGCAGCGUUGUAAUUAAGAGUCUACUGGAGGUAGAGCUACUGAUUGGAUGCGGGGGCUUCACCGCCUACCAAAUCCUGACAAACUCCGAAUGCCAGUAGUAUGAUUUACAGCAGUGAGCGACCGGGUGCUAAUGUCCGGUUACGAGAGUGGAACAACACAGACCAGCAACUAAGGUCCCCAAGAGUAUACUAAGUUGAUCUAACGAUGUUUUGCUGCAGAGACAGCUAGGAUGUUAGCUUGGAAGCAGCUAUUCAUUCAAAGAGUGCGUAACAGCUCACUAGUCGAGCGGCAAAGCGUGGAUAAUAAACGGGCAUCAAGUAUACCACCGAAGUUCUGGGCACGAAAGUGCGGUAGGGGAGCAUUCCAUUCCGCGUUGAAGCCGAACCGUGAGGUUUGGUGGAGUGUAUGGAAAAGCAAAUGUAGGCAUGAGUAACGAUAAUGCGGGAGAGUAACCCGCACACCGCAAGACCAAGGUUUCCUGAUCAACGCUAAUCGGAUCAGGGUUAGUCGGGUCCUAAGGGUAAGCCGAACGGUGAUCUCGAUGGAUAAUCGGUUAAUAUUCCGAUACUGACAUAUACCUCGAUGGAGAGACGAAGGAACGUAAGUGCCGCCACCUGACGGAAUAGGUGGUUAAAGGGCUUAGGUAUAGGGGCAGAUUAAGAGUUAGUCCUUGCUGAAACCUGACAGUACAGAGAGCCUACGGGCAAUUUGAUAGUGCACCCAAGUCGACUUCCGAGAAAAUCUUCUAAGUUAUAGUAUAUGUCACCCGUACCGUAAACCGACACAGGUGGUCGAGGAGAGUAUCCUAAGGUGCUCGAGUGAAUCACGGUUAAGGAACUAGGCAAAUUAACCCCGUAACUUCGGGAAAAGGGGUCCCUAUGAAAGUAGGGCGCAGCGAAGAGGUCCAGGCGACUGUUUAUCAAAAACACAGGGCUCUGCAAAUUCGAAAGAAGACGUAUAGGGCCUGACACCUGCCCGGUGCUGGAAGGUUAAGAGGGGAUGUCAUCGCAAGAGAAGCAUUGAAUCGAAGCCCCAGUAAACGGCGGCCGUAACUAUAACGGUCCUAAGGUAGCGAAAUUCCUUGUCGGGUAAGUUCCGACCUGCACGAAUGGUGUAACGAUCUGGACACUGUCUCAACCGUGAGCUCGGUGAAAUUGUAGUCCCGGUGAUGAUGCCGGGUACCCGCAACGGGACGAAAAGACCCCGUGAACCUUUACUAUAGCUUAACGCUGAAUUUGGGUACACAAUGUGUAGGAUAGGCAGGAGACUACGAAGCGGGCACGCCAGUGUUCGUGGAGUCGACGUUGAAAUACUGCCCUUUGUGUACUUGAGUUCUAACCCUCGAGAGGGGACACCGUUUGGUGGGUAGUUUGACUGGGGUGGUCGCCUCCAAAAGAGUAACGGAGGCUUCCCAAGGUACCCUCAGCACGAAUGGUAACCGUGCGUAGAGUGCAAUAGCAUAAGGGUGCUUGACUGUGAGACCAACAAGUCGAUCAGGUGCGAAAGCAGGGUAUAGUGAUCCGGUGGUUCUGCGUGGACUGGCCAUCGCUCAAAGGAUAAAAGGUACUCCGGGGAUAACAGGCUGAUCGCCGCCAAGAGCUCAUAUCGACGCGGCGGUUUGGCACCUCGAUGUCGGCUCGUCACAUCCUGGGGCUGGAGAAGGGCCCAAGGGGUGGGCUGUUCGCCCAUUAAAG
This 2184-nucleotide ribosomal RNA is filed under the name human gut metagenome. Its description in RNAcentral is "bacterial LSU rRNA". It matches the Rfam family "Bacterial large subunit ribosomal RNA", at positions 388 to 2593 of the family's 2925-position model. The record is from RNAcentral.